GGCCAUUCGUUCGUGCUUUCACUUGCUUGGAGUGAUACCGAGACUUCGAGUGGAGAACUUCGAAUUGUUUUUGCAAGAACGACAGCAACAACACCUCUUUAUUGAGAUUCGAGGUGGCUAGGAAUUACCCAAUGUGAGCUAAUAUGCUGUCACACUAUGUCAAAACAUUGGCAAACUGGCUGACAACGCUGCUGCUUAAGCAUCAUUUGUGCCUCAAAGAUACUGGCGUGUGAUUCCACGUGCAACGGUUUCUGGUCUGCCAAAGCGUGAAAGAGAAAAGCAGGAAUUGGACCUGGCCUGCGACCCAGCGCCACCGAGUAUGCCAGGAACGUCCAGCGCCGCAAUUUCGAUCCAUGCAUGACAUUGGGCCCACAAUCAAGCAUAGUAUUGGGCUAUCACCAUGUUGUUAUAACGCGUUAAUUGAAGGAAGUGUGAAAGUUCAAAUAACGUAAGGCAGCGCGAGCGGUGUUCAACCUGUGGCUUUCCUUGAUGAAAACAUGAAGCUCCAACCAAAUGCGACACGACACCAUUCUACGUUAUAGCAUUAGUUUGAGUGACGAGAAGUUGGUUUCGCUACAACAAAUACAGUCGGAGGACGAACAAAGAUGUCGCCGUUGGGACACAAACCUCUGUAAAUAGCGGUCGUGUAGUAUCGUGUCUUACCGUGCGCUUAUCGUAAAAUUCACUUCGGGCGAAAGGGUGUCACUGUGCCGAGGACCUUCAGUAAGUAAGCGCUUAGUUUUCGUAAAGAAGCGCGUGACGACGGUGACGGGAUGCGCUAGACGAGAGGAUUUCACAGAAUAUAUGUAUUCUUUUAAAAAGUUUCAUCGUUUAGUGCGCACACAGUGAUUGUACAGCAUUUAAGGACAUACUACUACUACUACUACUACUACUACUACUACUACUACUACUACUAAUAAUAAUAAUAAUAAUAAUAAUAAUAAUAAUGUAUUGACUUGAGUACAAUAUAAUGCAAGAAUCAGGGCCUUGGGCUUGAACGGCAAUGCCUUCGUACCUUAAUCCUUAAUCCGCCUUCAUCCAGGUUGUUCUUAUUUAUACAAAUCCACAUUGAUUCACUUUAUGCCACCUUAAUACACCUUGCUCUAAUUUGUACGAAUAAAGUGUGGAACUCUUAUUAUUCAUCGCAUGUCAUCUGGAUUGCGAGUGUUUUAUUCUGUGAGAAAUCUUCAUUUAGUGGGUACAGUUAGUGCACGAAUUUCACUACACGUCAAUAUUCCAAGACCUAACAUAGAGAAAAUCCUCUUACUGACCGUAGGUCGUCUGCACUGCGAGUGUUGUUUUCGCCGACCGCGGCCCCGAUCGGCAGCUACAGUCAAUGAAAUUUCUUCGCUUUCGCACACGCAUUAACCAUGGACAAAUAAGCCCAGGAAAAUGCUUUGCAUUUGGGUGUUCGUCCAGCAGCAAAAGAAAGAGUGCAGAAACUCCACUGCAGUUAUCUAAAUAUCCGUAAACAUACCCCCAAAUUUCAGUUAGCCCGCCUCAAAGUUUCAAGUUUGCUCACCCCUAAAUUUCAAGUUGGCCCACCCCUAAGUUUAUGUUGGCCCACCCCCAAAUUUUAAGUUAGCCCACCCCUAAAUUUAAGACGGGCCACCCCUAAAUUUCAAGUUGGCCCACUCCCAAAUUUCAGUUUCCCCUCACUCCAAAUUUCAACUGACCGUUGUGUACAGGGUGUUUCACGUAACUUGAACCAAGGAUUUUAAAAAAUGGUUAACCGCACCUUGGAGCGACCAACGACAUAUGGAUUGGCGUCAUGUGGCGCUCCUCUCAAAAUAUCUUUUUUUACGUUCAGCUUAUUUAAUUAACAGAGAUCAAUUAUUCAAAACUUUGAAUAUUCACUUUAGGGCCAAUCGUUACGUUGUGAAGGAAGUUCAGAAACAACCGAUCCAAUUUUCUUGUGGCGACGCGCCGAUUUUUUUAGGCGCUUAAAGAAAGCCCGCGAAAUGUGAAAUAAAGCCACGUGACUGGUGAAUUAAGGAUGGCAGAAAUAAGAGCGAAGUGGAUUAAGUUGGACUCAUGUGGUUUAAGGUAGAAUAAAGUAGAUUAGAAUACUUUGUUUAGCGCAAAACGACAGACACAAGAAAGACGACAGGACAAGGCGCUACUCUCAACUGACAUCAUUUUAUUGCGUCACUCCUUUAUAGACCGCUCAAACUAUAGGAACAUGCGCAGUGAGCACCAUGUGGUAGAGCCACCAACAUCCGAUCCCAAUAGCGCACUCAUGGAUUCAUGGAUUCGCACCAACUAGCCCGCCAACGCAUUGUGCUGAAAGUAGAUUAGGUUUGUACAUAUUACAGGAAUGUGGACUAGGGUGGGUUAAGGUGGAUUCAAGUUGUUUAAGGUUGGUACAAAUUACAAUAAGGUGGAUCAAAGUGCAUUAAGGUUAGUACAAAUUAGAGCAAUGUGGAUUAGGGUAGAUUAAAGUGAAAUAAGCUUGGUACAAAUUAGAGGAAAGUGGAUUGAAGUCGAGGUUUUGACGGAAGCCCGUCUGGUCGGGAGGCAUCAUGAAGAAGGGUAAAAAGGACAAAAACGCGCCCCCAUACCGUAUGUGCCCGGUGUGAGCGAGGGCUUAGCCCGCGUUCUACGCGGCUAUGACGUCCAGGUAGCUCACGUACCGUCCCAAAAAUUACGCCACCGGCUGGUAAACGUGAAAGACAAGCUUCCAAAGACUAAGUUUCCUGGCAUCGUCUACGGGAUUCCAUGUGAAGACUGCGACUGCGUAUAUAUCGGCGAGACAGGAAAUUUCGAACAGCGCUUGAAGCAGCAUAUCAACGAUGUAAAAAAGAAAAAAAGUCGCUGUGUUCGACACUCUGUUUAGGCGUGUCGCGUUGUUGAAUUGUGGUGGCAUCCGCCGUUUGUUAGCGGUAAAUUCAUGCGUUUGCGCCGCUAAGCUCUACGACGCGUGCUCAAUUCCCAGCCACGGCGGCCGCAUUUCGAUAAUGGCAAAAUGCAAGAACACCCUCGUUACCGUGUGCUUUGAUUUUUGUGCGUGUUGAAGAACCCCCAGGGGUUAAAAUUAUUCCUGAGACUCCCCAUUACAGCGGGCCUCAUGAUUAUUUCGUGGUUCUGGCAUGGUUUUGGCACUUAGAACCCCCGAAUUUAUUUGAAUGCACUGUGCCUUCCCUCGCGAUCGGCAUGGACGAGCUCAAGAUAAUUAUUUCCCUUUUCCAAACGCUGCAACUUAAAUUACUAGUUGUGCAGGUAACGAAAGGGGCCGCGCGCUACUUUUGUGUGGUAGCAGACCGUAUUUAAUACAAGCCGCGGUCGUCGCGUGCGUUGGGAAGCGGCAGAUCGGAAAGCAGCCGCUCGAGACGUGCGCGUUAUGUUUGUUGUUUGCCCAUGCUUUCUAAGUAUCUAAGCGUGCAAGUAUCAUAACUUGUAGUGGUACCACUCUUGCAGUAUAAUAUAUGCACACAAUCAUAGGAACAUUACCUUUGCAAACAUAUUAUUGGGAGUAAUUUAAUCCCCACAACAAAUAGGCACACGUACUGUUUCAUUUAUAUGCGAUGCAGAUGGAAGCGACGCCAAACAGACCAAUGGCAAUAACAACAGUCUUCUCAGCAGUCAGCACCACCGGGACAUGUGCUUUCGUACUGCAGCGACACAGCUCUUGAGCAGCAGCAAGACACGUGUGAAACAGACUCCAGAACAUGCCUUUGUGAAGUGACGGAACCGUCAAGAAGCAGCCCAAUGGAUCUGCAGUCAUCGAGUAGUAUGACAACAGAAGUUCCUGCUGCCAGUGUGACUUAUGUUGUAAUUGAAAUAAAAGUGGCUAAAUUUCUGAA
This is a long non-coding RNA of Dermacentor albipictus, 3803 nucleotides long. RefSeq lists it as uncharacterized. The record is from RefSeq and is a predicted model, not a curated record. Lineage: Eukaryota; Metazoa; Arthropoda; Arachnida; Ixodida; Ixodidae.